Molecule: ribosomal RNA, 253 nt
Filed under: uncultured bacterium
Lineage: Bacteria
Description: partial 16S ribosomal RNA
Rfam family: Bacterial small subunit ribosomal RNA
Source: RNAcentral
UACAGAGGGGGCGAGCGUUAUUCGGAAUUAUUGGGCGUAAAGGGCGCGUAGGCGGCUUUUCAAGUGACGGGUGAAAUCCCUCGGCUUAACCGAGGAACUGCCUGUCAGACUGGAAGGCUUGAGACCGGGAGAGGUGAGUGGAAUUCCCAGUGUAGCGGUGAAAUGCGUAGAUAUUGGGAGGAACACCAGUGGCGAAGGCGGCUCACUGGACCGGAAUUGACGCUGAGGCGCGAAAGCGUGGGGAGCAAACAGG